AUCCUUUACACAAACGUGAAUGACAAUGAUAAUAGUGUCACCACCAAACAAUCGGACAUUCCCGAUUUUUGCCUCUCGCUGACAGCAUCCAAAAUAUGCAAUAUUAAAGAUGUCAUGGGUGCAAAGGUUUUGUUCGCAAACUUCAUAGCAGGGCAGACCACUCCUUUUCUGGUUGCAAUGCAGAUUGUUCCACCAGACUCUGCAAGCCCAUGUUUACAGACAAGCAAGAUCGCCUUUGUAGUCGUACCUAAAUGCAUGUGCUUUAAUUUAAAUUUUGAUAUAUAGACCAGCCAAUGUGUAUAUGGUGUAAAAGGAUGCAACUUUAAGUAUUAUUUGAUAAUAUGUAUGUGACUUGUUGGAGAGGAUUUUUUGCUGAAUAGAUGAUUUUAAUAAAA
Ostrea edulis (European flat oyster) is the source of this 395-nucleotide long non-coding RNA. RefSeq lists it as uncharacterized. NCBI's taxonomy places the organism in Eukaryota, Metazoa, Mollusca, Bivalvia, Ostreida, Ostreidae. The record is from RefSeq and is a predicted model, not a curated record. The transcript is spliced from 2 exons.